Podarcis lilfordi (Lilford's wall lizard) is the source of this 69-nucleotide non-coding RNA. The record is from the annotation of a GenBank genome assembly. Lineage: Eukaryota; Metazoa; Chordata; Lepidosauria; Squamata; Lacertidae.
GCGAUAGCUCAGUGGUUCAGCAUCUGCUUUGCAUGCAAAAGAUCGCAGGAUCAAUCCCUGGUAUCUCCA